CUCGCCAAAAGAGCGCCCCCCCAUGGCAGGAGAAAAAAGUCCAUUUUUUCUUGUCUCCUAAGGCGAAAAUACACAUUGUUGACUGUCACGCCUUUACGCUUUGUCAAAAUGACACAAAAUUUGACACACACAUGUAUCUCAAUAAGAUCUACGAAAAAGUCAAUGCGAGCGUAUCUGUUCAAUGUACGGUUAAAGGGCUAUUUCGCAUUUUUUGCCGAUUCGCACACAUUGGAAUGUGGCUAACUCCUCCUGAAGCUUUUGUCCCAUCGGCUUCAAAUUUGCUCAGGUCAAUCUACACCCCAUGGCCAUUCAAAGUUGUACAAAUCAUGACGCUGCACCCCACGGUUUACGUUCUAGGGGGCGCCAAAGAGGACCCAAAUAUCCACAUUUUUAAAAGUCUUAUAACUUUUUAUUUUUGUCCUUACUGGCCUCCAAGUUUUCUAGGAUGAUGCAAUGUCCAGCCAUCAACACAUUUGUGAAGGAAUUUUUUCUCUCCAAAAGAGCGCCCCCCCAUGGCAGGAGAAAAAGUCAAGUUUUUCCUGCCCAUCGCUCAAUGGCUCAAACGCAUCGCUCUCUCGGCAAAACCGAAAGGAGGAGCAAAUUGCCAUUUGGAUAUAUACUAGCUGUGUUUGUGCCCUCACUCAUGGUCCAGACUGUUUUCAAAAAGGACAUGGAGUUUGUCUGCAGCGAGCGUUUUGGUAGAAACUGCGCCUCCCAUUCAUUAUAAUGGUAAAUGACCACAGACAAGUGUGCACACCAUCUUUGGACCUUGAGUGUGACGCGAUCGGGAGGGGUAGGCGGUCGCGCUGGGGGCGGCGCGACACGGCUCGGGCCCGCCAGUGCCCCAACGGGGCCCUAGUGUUAUUAUUAUUAGGGCCUGAGCGUAGCUGCUAAGCAGCUGCGAGGCCCUGUUGUUCCUGUAGUGGUUUUUCUUUGUUUCUUUUUUCUUUUUCUUCCCCUUUGAACUGGAAAAUGGCCCACUUCCCACUGGAGAAAACUCAUGAAAUUUGGCAGGCAUCCGGGCCUGGUGAAAAAUUUGAUAUUCUGAAGUCGCCCAAACAAUAAAAUGCAAAAUGGCUCCAUAGCGCCCCCUAAGAUGAAAAUUCACACUAUUGACUGUCACGGCUGUACACUUUGUCAUAUUGACACAAAAAUCGACACACACAUGUAUCUCAAUAAGAUCUACAAAAAAGUCAGUGAGGGCGUAUCUGUCAAAUUUACGGUUAAAGGGUUAUUCCGCAUUUUUUGCCGAUCCACACACAUUGGAAUUUCGCUAACUCCUCCGAAGGCUUUCGUUCCACCGGCACCACAUUUGCUCAGGCCAAUCUACACCCCAUGGCCAUUAAAAGUUAUUCAAAUCAUGACGCUGCACCCCACGGUUUAGGUUCUAGGGGGCGCCAAAGAUAACCCUAAAAUCCACAUAUUUAAAAGUCUUAUAACUUUUUAUUUUUGUCCUCACUGGCCUCCAAGUUUUCUAGGAUGAUGCAAUGUCCAGCCAUCAACACAUUUGUGAAGGAAUUUUUACUCCCCAAUAGAGGGCCCCCCCCAUGGCAGGAGAAAAAAAGUCCAUUUUUUCUUGUCCCAUAAGGUGAAAAUACACAUUGUUGACUGUCAUACCUGUACGCUUUGUCAUAUUGACACAAAAUUUGACAAUCACAUGUAUCUCAAUAAGAUCUACGAAAAAGUCAAUGCGCGCCUAUCUGUAAAAUGUACGGUUAAAGGGCUAUUUUGCAUUUUUUGCCGAUUUGCACACAUUGGAAUGUGGCUAACUCCUCCUAAGGCUUUCGUCCCACUGACACCAAAUUUGCUCAGGCCAAUCUACACCCCACGGCCAUUCAAAGUUGUACAAAUCAUGACGCUGCACCCCACGGUUUAGGUUCUAGGGGGUGCCAAAGAUGACCCAAAUAUCCACAUUCUUAAAAGAAUCCACAUUCCCCCCCUUCCCCCAUCCCCCAUGGCAGGAGAAACAGUCAAGUUUUUCCUGCCCAUCACUCAAUGGCUCAAUCGCAUCGCUCUCCCGGCAACACCGUAACGAGGAGCAACUUGCCGUUUGGAUAUAUCCUAGCUGUGUUUGUGCCCUCACUCAUGGUCCACACUUUUUUCAAAUAGGACAUGUAGUUUGUCUGCAGCGAGUGUUUUGGUAGAAACUGCGCCUCCCAUUCAUUAUAAUGGGAAAUGACCACAGACAAUUGCGCACACCAUCUUUGGACCUUGAGUGUGACGCGAUCGGGAGGGGUAGGCGGUCGCGCUGGGGGCGGCGCAACGCGGCUCGGGCCCGACAGUGCCCCACCGGGGCCCUAGUUUUUCUUUUUCCUCCCCUUUGAACUGGAAAAUGGCCCACUUCCCACUGGCGAAAACUCAUGAAAUUUGGCAGGACGACCGGGCCUGGUGAAAAAUUUGAUAUUCCGAAGUCGCCCAAACAAGAAAAUGCAAAAUGGCUCCAUAGCGCCCCCUAAGGUGAAAAUUCACACUAUUGACUGUCACGCCUGUACGCUUUGUCAAAAUGACACAAAAAUUGACACACACAUGUAUCUCAAUAAGAUCUACAAAAAAGUCAGUGCGGGCGUAUCUGUCAAAUGUACGGUUAAAGGGUUAUUUCACAUUUUUUGCCGAUCCGCACACAUUGGAAUUUCGCUAACUCCUCCGAAGGCUUUCGUUCCACCGGCACCACAUUUGCUCAGGCCAAUCUACACCCCAUGGCCAUUAAAAGUUAUUCAAAUCAUGACGCUGCACCCCACGGUUUAGGUUCUAGGGGGCGCCAAAGAUAACCCUAAAAUCCACAUAUUUAAAAGUCUUAUAACUUUUUAUUUUUGCCCUCACUGGCCUCCAAGUUUUCUAGGAUGAUGCAAUGUCCAGCCAUCAACACAUUUGUGAAGGAAUUUUUACUCCCCAAAAGAGCGCCCCCCCAUGGCAGGAGAAAAAAGUCCAUUUUUUCUUGUCCCCUAAGGUGAAAAUUCACACUAUUGACUGUCACGCCUUUACGCUUUGUCAAAAUGACACAAAAAUUGACACACACAUGUAUCUCAAUAAGAUCUACAAAAAAGUCCAUGCGCGCGUAUCUGUCUAAUGUACGGUAAAAGGGCUAUUUUGCAUUUUUUGCCGAUUCGCACACAUUGGAAUUUCGCUAACUCCUCCUAAGGCUUUCGUCCCACUGACACCAAAUUUGCUCAGGCCAAUCUACACUCCAUGGCCAUUCAAAGUUGUAAAAAUCAUGACGCUGCACCCCACGGUUUACGUUUUAGGGGGCGCCAAAGAUGACCCAAAUAUACAUUACAGUAGACAAAGUAGUUUUGCCCACUGAGUGGCGCCAAAGGGACUUGUCUGUGGAGUCUGUGAGUCACUAUUGGCCGUUUUUGACUACUUUAGAUUUUACCUUUAUAUUUCCUCUUACAAAAUUUUUACCUUGCCUUGCCUGGUAUCAUUUUUUUCAGCACAACCUCACCUGUGUCAAUUUACAGUUAUUUUAUCAUUUUGACAUACUAUAUUUACACAUUGGACCCAAAUUCACACACAAAACAUAAAAUCCGAGUGGAAAAAAGUAACGUUUUUACUGUGAAAACCACAAAUAUGUGUGAUGAACUGUUUUUAAAACUUAAACUUCAAAUAAAAAUUGUAAACUUCAAAACAUAUGCAAAUUUUUAACAAAGAACAUAGUAAUUUACCUCUAUUGACAUCAAAAUGCAGGCAAUGGCCCAGGUGUUCUUUGUAAAAUUAUUUACAAAACACUGUAUAGUCUCACAAAUGUCACUUUUUAUUUAUGCCACUACAAAAACACAUGAUGUAAAUGAUGCAUGAUGUAAAACAUGAUGUAAAAAACUUGUGUAGAUCCUCCUCUAUGUUAGUCCAUGUGUAAUUUUUCCAUAAUUCUUUGUUUUUUGCAGCAUUUUUGUUAGUGUAACUGCAGAUUGUGCUGACAGUGUCUAUGGCAAAAAAAAAAAAAAAAAAAACUGAAAAUGCCUCAACAUGAACCCCUGGUGGUCUCUGAGGGUGAAACCUGCUAACUGCUGCAGCUCUGUCAGCUUCAGUCUCCCAUGCAGAGCUCGGAGCGCAUGUGUGGCUCUCCCCCCUAGCAGCGUUGCUAACUCCUCAGUAAGGAAAGCCUGCUUCAUGUCAGAGUCUCUAAACUCCAGAAGAAGUCGAUAAAAGUCACUUUCUUUCUAAAAAAAAAGUCGUUAGGGGGUCUGAAAAGUCAUUGAAUCUAACAACAAAGUCGCUAGGUUUGCAACUACGUGUCCCAGACUGCAUCCCUGCUGAGAGUCCCUCCCUCCCUUCUCAUAUUGCAGGAAGAACGUAAGUUCCCGCCCCUUGUCAAUCAGUCACCAUAUAAUUUUGGAUUGGUUGUUGUGGUGAAGUUUUCCACCAAUAGGAGAGAUGUUGUGGUGUGUAUUUUUUUUCCUUUGGCAAGCCUUUUCCGCCUGUAAGACCUGUCGCUAAUGUCUGCAUGCUAUGUUUUCCUGUCUCAUACAGCGCGAUCGAGCGCCGAACGUGAUCAAAAUAAGCAGAAAACAAGUAUCGCGGACAUAAUUUAUCAUAACUCUGGUUUUAUUUGGCCUAUCAACACAAUUUAAAAACUGUUAUAUAGGUUGAGGUCCUCACUUUUGAGAUAAAUUGAAACGGAGAGUCAACGAGGCUCCGUCUUGCAGCUACAUCCGGUUAAAUAUGUCAUGUGACUUGAACGCACACACACACACACACACAGACACACACACACACGCACACACACACACACUCAGAGUCUGGUUUGUAGCACCUGCAAAAACAUGCUAUUUACAUAUUUGACAAGAAUGCAGAGGCUCCUUUUGCCCCUGAAAAAAAUCAAAUUUCAAACACAACUUGACUGGUCAUUUCUCCAAAAGACAACCAUGAAGCUCCAUCCAAACCUGAAGCAGGCAGUUGGUGCAUGUGUACAGUAACCUGAGGGGAGUGAGGUGACUGCUUCUGAGGAGAACAUGAGCAGUGAAGAUUUACCUUAGAGCUAGAACAGAGACGUGCACAUGAUUAUACAGGGGCAGGGGCUCAAGUUUUUUCCAGUCGUUUAUACAAUUUGGAAAUUAAUGUGAAAUUAAAAAACAAAGUAUUAAUAGAAAGGUAAUGACUGUCCUGUGUAGGUGACAGUGAUAUCCAAUAGGCUAGGCACUCACGAGGCUGGCUGUGGCAAGUGUAAGUGAAAGCAACACGCACUAGCAGGAAGAACAGCAAACGCCGAUGAAGGAAAAGGGUCUUUGCAGUGAUGGGCGUUACCAAAGAGGGCGAUGGCCAGAGGACACAAAUGGGACGGGGAGGCAGCGCGUUGGGGGGGGGACGCGACACAGCUCGGGCCCGCCAGUGCCCCAACGGGGUCCUAGUUCUUUCUUUCUUUCUUCUUUUUCCUCCCCUUUGAACUGGAAAAUGGCCCACUUCCCACUGGCGAAAACUCAUGAAAUUUGGCAGGAUGACCGGGCCUGGUGAAAAAUUUGAUAUUCCGAAGUCGCCCAAACAAGAAAAUGCAAAAUGGCUCCAUAGCGCCCCCUAAGGUGAAAAUUCACACUAUUGACUGUCACGCCUUUACGCUUUGUCAUAUUGACACAAAAAUUGACACACACAUGUAUCUCAAUAAGAUCUACAAAAAAGUCAGUGCGGGCGUAUCUGUCAAAUGUACGGUUAAAGGGUUAUUCCGCAUUUUUUGCCGAUCCGCACACAUUGGAAUUUCGCUAACUCCUCCGAAGGCUUUCGUUCCACCGGCACCACAUUUGCUCAGGCCAAUCUACACCCCAUGGCCAUUAAAAGUUAUUCAAAUCAUGACGCUGCACCCCACAGUUUAGGUUCUAGGGGGCGCCAAAGAUAACCCUAAAAUCCACAUAUUUAAAAGUCUUAUAACUUUUUAUUUUUGCCCUCACUGGCCUCCAAGUUUUCUAGGAUGAUGCAAUGUCCAGCCAUCAACACAUUUGUGAAGGAAUUUUUAAUCCCCAAAAGAGCGCCCCCCCAUGGCAGGAGAAAAAAGUCCAUUUUUUCUUGUCCCCUAAGGUGAAAAUACACAUUGUUGAGUGUCACGCCUGUACGCUUUGUCAUAUUGACACAAAAUUUGACACACACAUGUAUCUCAAUAAGAUCUACGAAAAAGUCAAUGCGCGCGUAUCUGUCAAAUGUACGGUUAAAGGGUUAUUCCGCAUUUUUUGCUGAUCCGCACACAUUGGAAUUUCGCUAACUCCUCCUAAGGCUGGCAUCCACCGGCACCACAUUUGCUCAGGCCAAUCUACACCCCAUGGCCAUUAAAAGUUAUUCAAAUCAUGACGCUGCACCCCACGGUUUAGGUUCUAGGGGGCGCCAAAGAUAACCCUAAAAUCCACAUUUUUAAAAGUCUUAUAACUUUUUAUUUUUGUCCUCACUGGCCUCCAAGUUUUCUAGGAUGAUGCAAUGUCCAGCCAUCAACACAUUUGUGAAAGAAUUUUUACUCCCUAAAAGAGCGCCCCCCCAUGGCAGGAGAAAAAAGUCCAUUUUUUCUUGUCCCCUAAGGUGAAAAUACACAUUGUUGACUGUCACGCCUGUAUGCUUUGGCAAAAUGACACAAAAAUUGACAAUCAUGUGUAUCUCAAUUAGAUCUACGAAAAAGUCAAAGAGCGCGUAUCUGUAUAAUGUACGGUAAAAGGGCUAUUUUGCAUUUUUUGCCGAUUCGCACACAUUGGAAUUUCGCUAACUCCUCCUAAGGCUUUCGUCCCACUGACACCAAAUUUGCUCAGGCCAAUCUACACUCCAUGGCCAUUCAAAGUUGUAAAAAUCAUGACGCUGCACCCCACGGUUUACGUUUAAGGGGGGCCAAAGAUGACCCAAAUAUACAUUACAGUAGACAAAGUAGUUUUGCCCACUGAGUGGCGCCAAAGGGACUUGUCUGUGGAGUCUGUGAGUCACUAUUGGCCGUUUUUGACUACUUUAGAUUUUACCUUUAUAUUUCCUCUUACAAAAUUUUUACCUUGCCUUGCCUGGUAUCAUUUUUUUCAGCACAACCUCACCUGUGUCAAUUUACAGUUAUUUUAUCAUUUUGACAUACUAUAUUUAAACAUUGGACCCAAAUUCACACACAAAACAUAAAAUCCGAGUGGAAAAAAGUAACGUUUUUACUGUGAAAACCACAAAUAUGUGUGAUGAACUGUUUUUAAAACUUAAACUUCAAAUAAAAAUUGUAAACUUCAAAACAUAUGCAAAUUUUUAACAAAGAACAUAGUAAUUUACCUCUAUUUACAUCAAAAUGCAGGCAAUGGCCCAGGCGUUCUUUGUGAAAUUAUUUACAAAACACUGUAUAGUCUCACAAAUCUCACUUUUUAUUUAUGCCACUACAAAAAAACAUGAUGUAAAUGAUGCAUGAUGUAAAACAUGAUGUAAAAAACUUGUGUAGAUCCUCCUCUAUGUUAGUCCAUGUGUAAUUUUUCCAUAAUUCUUUGUUUUUUGCAGCAUUUUUGUUAGUGUAACUGCAGAUUGUGCUGACAGUGUCUAUGGCAAAAAAAAAAAAAAAAAAAAACUGAAAAUGCCUCAACAUGAACCCCUGGUGGUCUCUGAGGGUGAAACCUGCUAACUGCUGCAGCUCUGUCAGCUUCAGUCUCCCAUGCAGAGCUCGGAGCGCAUGUGUGGCUCUGCACCCUUAGCAGCGUUGCUAACUCCUCAGUAAGGAAAGCCUGCUUCAUGUCAGAGUCUCUAAACUCCAGAACUCCAGAAGAAGUCGAUAAAAGUCCCUUUCUUUCUAAAAAAAAGUCAUUAGGGGGUCUGAAAAGUCAUUGAAUCUAACAACAAAGUCGCUAGGUUUGAAACUACGUGUCCCAGACUGCAUCCCUGCUGAGAGUCCCUCCCUCCCUUCUCAAGUUGCAGGAAGAACGCGAGCGCCCAUCCCGUGUCAAUCAGUCACCAUAUAAUUUUGGAUUGGUUGUUGUGGUGAAGUUUUCCACCAAUAGGAGAGAUGUUGUGGUGUGUUUUUUUCUUUUCUUUUGGCAAGCCUUUUCCGCCUGUAAGACCUGUCGCUAAUGUCUGCAUGCUAUGUUUUCCUGUCUCAUACAGCGCGAUCGAGCGCCGAACGUGAUCAAAAUAAGCAGAAAAAAAGUAUUGCGGACAUAAUUUAUCAUAACUCUGGUUUUAUUUGGCCUAUCAACACAAUUUAAAAACUGGUAUAUAGUUUGAGGUCCUCACUUUUAAGAUAGGUUGAAACGAAGAAUCAACGAGGCUCCGUCUUGCAGCUACAUCCGGUUAAAUAUGUCAUGUGACUUGAACGCUGGGGAGCGUCAAUCGAAUCGAAUCAAACCUAACUCUCAGAUGAAUCUUCAAAAUUCACCUCAGAAAUAUGCUUAUUAUUCUUCUCAGAGUACUGCAGGAUACACACACACACAGACACACACACACACACGCACACACACUCAGAGUCUGUUUUUUAGCACCUGCAAACACAUGCUAUUUACAUAUUUGACAAGAAUGCAGAGGCUUUCUUUUGCCUCUGAAAAAAAUCAAAUUUCAAACACAACUUGACUGCUCAUUUCUCCAAAAGACAACCAUGAAGCUCCAUCCAAACCUGAAGCAGGCAGUUGGUGCAUGUGUACAGUAACCUGAGGGGAGUGAGGUGACUGCUUCUGAGGAGAACAUGAGCAGUGAAGAUUCACCUUGGAGCUAGAACAGGGACGUGCACAUGAUUUGCAGGGGCAGGGGCUCAAUUUUUUCCAGUCGUUUAUACAAUAUGGAAAUUAAUGUGAAAUUAAAAAACAAAGUAUUAAUAGAAAGGUAAUGACUGUCCUGUGUAGGUGACAGUGAUAUCCAAUAGGCUAGGCACUCACGAGGCUGGCUGUGGCAAGUGUAAGUGAAAGCAACACGCACUGGCAGGAAGAACAGCAAACGCCGAUGAAGGCAAAGGGUCUUUGCAGUGAUGGGCGUUACCAGAGAGGGCGAUGGCCAGAGGACGCGAAUGGGACGGGGAGGCAGCGCGUUGGGGGGGGGCGCGACACGGCUCGGGCCCGCCAGUGCCCCAACGGGGCCCUAGUUAUUAUUUUUCCUCCGCUUUAAACUGGAAAAUGGCCCACUUCCCACUGGCGAAAACUCAUGAAAUUUGGCAGGACGACCGGGCCUGGUGAAAAAUUCGAUAUUCUGAAGUCGCCCAAACAAUAAAAUGCAAAAUGGCUCCAUAGCGCCCCCUAAGGCGAAAAUUCACACUAUUGACUGUCACGCCUGUACGCUUUGUCAUAUUGACACAAAAAUUGACACACACGUGUAUCUCAAUACGGUCUACGAAAAAGUCAGCGCGGGCGCAUCUGUGAAAUGUACGGUUAGAGGGUUAUUUCGCAUUUUUUGCCGAUCUGCACACAUUGGAAUUUGGCUAACUCCUCCGAAGGCAUUCGUUCCACCGGCACCACAUUUGCUCAAGCCAAUCUACACCCCAUGGCCAUUAAAAGUUGUACAAAUCAUGACGCUGCACCCCACAGUUUACGUUCUAGGGGGCGCCAAAGAUAACCCAAAAAUCCACAGUCUUAAAAGUCUUAUAACUUUUUAUUUUUGCCCUCACUGGCCUCCAAGUUUUCUAGGAUGAUGCAAUGUCCAGCCAUCAACACAUUUGUGAAGGAAUUUUUACUCCCCAAAAGAGCGCCCCCACAUGGCAGGAGAAAAAAGUCCAUUUUUUCUUGUCCCCUAAGGUGAAAAUACACAUUGUUGAGUGUCACGCCUAUACGCUUUGUCAUAUUGACACAAAAUUUGACAAUCACGUGUAUCUCAAUAAGAUCUACGAAAAAGUCAAUGGGCACGUAUCUGUAAAAUGUACGGUUAAAGGGUUAUUUCGCAUUUUUUCCCGAUCCGCACACAUUGGAUUUUCACUAACUCCUCCGAAGGCUUUAGUUCCACCGCCACCAAAUUUGCUCAGGCCAAUCUACACCCCAUGGCCAUUAAAAGUUGUACAAAUCAUGACGUUGCACUCCACGGUUUAGGUUCUAGGGGGCGCCAAAGAUAACCCAAAAAUCCACAUUCUUAAUAGUCUUAUAACUUUUUAUUUUUGUCCUCACUGGCCUCCAAGUUUUCUAGGAUGAUGCAAUGUCCAGCCAUCAACACAUUUGUAAAGGAAUUUUUACUCCCGAAAAGAGCGCCCCCCCAUGGCAGGAGAAAAAUGUCCAUUUUUUCUUGUCCCCUAAGGUGAAAAAACACAUUGUUGACUGUCACGCCUAUACGCUUUGUCAAAAUGACACAAAAUUUGACACACACGUGUAUCUCAAUAAGAUCUACGAAAAAGUCAAUGGGCACGUAUCUGUAAAAUGUACGGUUAAAGGGCUAUUUCGCAUUUUUUGCAGAUCUGCACACAUUGGAAUGUGGCUAACUCCUCCUAAGGCUUUCUUCCCACCGACACCAAAUUUGCUCAAGCCGAUCUACAUCCCAUGGCCAUUCAAAGUUGUAAAAAUCAUGCCGCUGCACCCCAUGGUUUACGUUCUAGGGGGCGCCAAAGAUGACCCAAAUAUCCACAUUCUUAAAAGAAUCCACAUCCCCCCCCCCCCCCCCCCCCCCCCCCCCCCCCCAAGGCAGGAGAAAAAGUCCAGUUAACCCUGCCCAUCGCUCAAUGGCUCAAUCGCAUCGCUCUCCUGGCAACACCGUAAGGAGGAGCAACUUGCCAUUUGGAUAUAUCCUAGCUGUGUUUGUGCCCUCACUCAUGGUCCAGACUUUUUUCAAAUAGGACAUGUAGUUUGUCUGCAGCGACCGUUUUGGUAGAAACUGCGCCUCCCAUUCAUUAUAAUGGGAAAUGACCACAGACAAGUGCGCACACCAUCUUUGGACCUUGAGUGUGAUGCGAUCGGGAGGGGGAGGCGGUCGCGCUGGGGGCGGCGCGACGCGGCUCGGGCCCGACAGUGCCCCACCGGGGCCCUAGUUUGUUAUUAUUAUUAUUUUUCCUCCCCUUUGAACUGGAAAAUGGCCCACUUCCCACUGGCGAAAACUCAUGAAAUUUGGCAGGACGACCGGGCCUGGUGAAAAAUUUGAUAUUCCGAAGUCGCCCAAACAAGAAAAUGCAAAAUGGCUCCAUAGCGCCCCCUAAGGUGAAAAUUCACACUAUUGACUGUCACGCGUGUACGCUUUGUCAAAAUGACACAAAAAUUGACACACACAUGUAUCUCAAUAAGAUCUACAAAAAAGUCAGUGCGGGCGUAUCUGUCAAAUGUACGGUUAAAGGGUUAUUUCGCAUUUUUUGCCGAUCCGCACACAUUGGAAUUUCGCUAACUCCUCCGAAGGCUUUCGUUCCACCGGCACCACAUUUGCUCAGGCCAAUCUACACCCCAUGGCCAUUAAAAGUUAUUCAAAUCAUGACGCUGCACCCCACGGUUUAGGUUCUAGGGGGCGCCAAAGAUAACCCUAAGAUCCACAUAUUUAAAAGUCUUAUAACUUUUUAUUUUUGCCCUCACUGGCCUCCAAGUUUUCUAGGAUGAUGCAAUGUCCAGCCAUCAACACAUUUGUGAAGGAAUUUUGACUCCCCAAAAGAGCGCCCCCCCAUGGCAGGAGAAAAAAGUCCAUUUUGUCUUGUCCCCUAAGGUGAAAAUACACAUUGUUGAGUGUAACACCUGUACGCUUUGGCAAAAUGACACAAAAAUUGACACACACAUGUAUCUCAAUAAGAUCUACGAAAAAGUCAAUGCGCGCGUAUCUGUCAAAUGUACGGUUAAAGGGUUAUUCCGCAUUUUUUGCCGAUCCACACACAUUGGAAUUUCGCUAACUCCUCCGAAGGCUUUCGUUCCACCGGCACCACAUUUGCUCAGGCCAAUCUACACCCCAUGGCCAUUAAAAGUUAUUCAAAUCAUGACGCUGCACCCCACGGUUUAGGUUCUAGGGGGCGCCAAAGAUAACCCUAAAAUCCACAUAUUUAAAAGUCUUAUAACUUUUUAUUUUUGUCCUCACUGGCCUCCAAGUUUUCUAGGAUGAUGCAAUGUCCAGCCAUCAACACAUUUGUGAAGGAAUUUUUACUCCCCAAAAGAGCGCCCCCCCAUGGCAGGAGAAAAAAGUCAAUUUUUUCUUGUCCCCUAAGGUGGAAAUUCACACUAUUGACUGUCACGCCUGUACGCUUUAUCAUAUUGACACAAAAAUUGACACACAUAUGUAUCUCAAUAAGAUCUACAAAAAAGUCAAUGCGCGCGUAUCUGUAAAAUGUACGGUUAAAGGGCUAUUUUGCAUUUUUUGCCGAUUCGCACACAUUGGAAUGUGGCUAACUCCUCCUAAGGCUUUCGUCCCACUGACACCAAAUUUGCUCAGGCCAAUCUACACCCCAUGGCCAUGCAAAGUUGUAAAAAUCAUGACGCUGCACCCCACGGUUUACGUUCUAGGGGGCGCCAAAGAUGACCCAAAAAUCCACAUUCUUAAAGGAAUCCACAUCCCCCCCCCCCCAAGGCAGGAGAAAAAGUCAAGUUUAACCUGCCCAUCGCUCAAUGGCUCAAUCGCAUCGCUCUCCAGGCAACACCGUAAGGAGGAGCAACCUGCCAUUUCGAUAUAUCAUAGCUGUGUUUGUGCCCUCACUCAUGGUCCAGACUUUUUUCAAAUAGGACAUGAAGUUUGUCUGCAGCGAGUGUUUUGGUAGAAACUGCGCCUCCCAUUCAUUAUAAUGGGAAAUGACCACAGACAAGUGCGCACACCAUCUUUGGACCUUGAGUGUGACGCGAUCGGGAGGGGGAGGCGGUCGCGCUGGGGGCGGCGCGACGCGGCUCGGGCCCGACAGUGCCCCACCGGGGCCCUAGUCUUAUUAUUUUUCUGCCCCUUUGAACUGGAAAAUGGCCCACUUCCCACUGGCGAAAACUCAUGAAAUUUGGCAGGACGACCGGGCCUGGUGAAAAAUUCGAUAUUCUGAAGUCGCCCAAACAAUAAAAUGCAAAACGGCUCCAUAGCGCCCCCUAAGGUGAAAAUUCACACUAUUGACUGUCACGCCUGUACGCUUUGUCAUAUUGACACAAAAAUUGACACACACGUGUAUCUCAAUAAGAUCUACAAAAAAGUCAGUGCGGGCGUAUCUGUCAAAUGUAUGGUUAAAGGGUUAUUUCGCAUUUUUUGCCGAUCCGCACACAUUGGAAUUUCGCUAACUCCUCCGAAGGCUUUCGUUCCACUGGCACCACAUUUGCUCAGGCCAAUCUACACCCCAUGGCCAUUAAAAGUUGUACAAAUCAUGACGCUGCACCCCACGGUUUAGGUUCUAGGGGGCGCCAAAGAUAACCCAAAAAUCCACAGUCUUAAAAGUCUUAUAACUUUUUAUUUUUGUCCUCACUGGCCUCCAAGUUCUCUAGGAUGUUGCAAUGUCCAGCAAUUAACACAUUUGUGAAGGAAUUUUUACUCGCCAAAAGAGUGCCCCCCCAUGGCAGGAGAAAAAAGUCCAUUUUUUCUUGUCUCCUAAGGUGAAAAUACACAUUGUCGAGUGUCACGCUUGUAUGCUUUGUCAUAUUUACACACAAUUUGACAACCACUUGAAUCUCAAUAAGAUCUACGAAAAAGUCAAUGUGCGCGUAUCUGUCAAAUGUACGGUUAAAGGGUUAUUCUGCAUUUUUUGCAAAUUUGCACACAUUGGAAUUUUUCUAAGUCCUCCGAAGGCUUUUGUCCCACUGACACCACAUUUGCUCAGGCCAAUCUACACUCCAUGGCCAUUCAAAGUUGUACAAAUCAUGACGCUGCACCCCACGGUUUAGGUUCUAGGGGGCACCAAAGAUAACCCAAAAAUCCACAGUCUUAAAAGUCUUAUAACUUUUUAUUUUUGUCCUCAGUGGCCUCCAAGUUGUCUAGGAUGAUGCAAUGUCCAGCAAUUAACACAUUUGUGAAGGAAAUUUUACUCGCCAAAAGAGUGCCCCCCCAUGGCAGGAGAAAAAAGUCCAUUUUUUCUUGUCUCCUAAGGUGAAAAUACACAUUGUCGAGUGUCACGCCUGUACGCUUUGUCAUAUUUACACACAAUUUGACAACCACAUGAAUCUCAAUAAGAUCUAUGAAAAAGUCAAUGUGCGCGUAUCUGUCAAAUGUACGGUUAAAGGGUUAUUCUGCAUUUUUUGCAGAUUUGCACACAUUGGAAUUUUGCUAACUCCUCCGAAGGCUUUUGUCCCACUGACACCAAAUUUGCUCAGGCCAAUCUACACUCCAUGGCCAUUCAAAGUUGUACAAAUCAUGACGCUGCACCCCACGGUUUACGUUCUAGGGGGCGCCAAAGAUAACCCAAAAAUCCACAGUCUUAAAAGUCUUAUAACUUUUUAUUUUUUUCCUCACUGGCCUCCAAGUUCUCUAGGAUGAUGCAAUGUCCAGCCAUCAACACAUUUGUGAAGGAAUUUUUACUCCCCAAAAGAGCGCCCCCCCAUGGCAGGAGAAAAAAGUCCAUUUUUUCUUGUCCCCUAAGGUGAAAAUACACAUUGUUGAGUGUCACGCCUAUACGCUUUGUCAUAUUGACCCAAAAUUUGACAAUCACGUGUAUCUCAAUAAGAUCUACGAAAAAGUCAAUGGGCACGUAUCUGUAAAAUGUACGGUUAAAGGGCUAUUUUGCAUUUUUUCCCGAUCCGCACACAUUGGAAUUUCGCUAACUCCUCCGAAGGCUUUAGUUCCACCGCCACCAAAUUUGCUCAGGCCAAUCUACACCCCAUGGCCAUUAAAAGUUGUACAAAUCAUGACGCUGCACUCCACGGUUUAGGUUCUAGGGGGCGCCAAAGAUAACCCAAAAAUCCACAUUCUUAAUAGUCUUAUAACUUUUUAUUUUUGUCCUCACUGGCCUCCAAGUUUUCUAGGAUGAUGCAAUGUCCAGCCAUCAACACAUUUGUGAAGGAAUUUUUACUCCCGAAAAGAGCGCCCCCCCAUGGCAGGAGAAAAAAGUCCAUUUUUUCUUGUCCCCUAAGGUGAAAAAACACAUUGUUGACUGUCACGCCUAUACACUUUGUCAAAAUGACACAAAAUUUGACACACACGUGUAUCUCAAUAAGAUCUACGAAAAAGUCAAUGGGCACGUAUCUGUAAAAUGUACGGUUAAAGGGCUAUUUCGCAUUUUUUGCCGAUUCGCACACAUUGGAAUGUGGCUAACUCCUCCUAAGGCUUUCUUCCUACCAACACCAAAUUUGCUCAAGCCGAUCUACAUCCCAUGGCCAUUCAAAGUUGUAAAAAUCAUGCCGCUGCACCCCAUGGUUUACGUUCUAGGGGGCGCCAAAGAUGACCCAAAUAUCCACAUUCUUAAAAGAAUCCACAUCCCCCCCCCCAAGGCAGGAGAAAAAGUCCAGUUAACCCUGCCCAUCGCUCAAUGGCUCAAUCGCAUCGCUCUCCUGGCAACACCGUAAGGAGGAGCAACUUGCCAUUUGGAUGUAUCCUAGCUGUGUUUGUGCCCUCACUCAUGGUCCAGACUUUUUUCAAAUAGGACAUGUAGUUUGUCUGCAGCGACCGUUUUGGUAGAAACUGCGCCUCCCAUUCAUUAUAAUGGUAAAUGACCACAGACAAGUGCGCACACCAUCGUUGAACCUUGAGUGUGACGCGAUCGGGAGGGAGAGGCGGUCGCGCUGGGGGCGGCGUGACACAGCUCGGGCCCGCCAGUGCCCCAACGGGGCCCUAGUUCUUUCUGUUCUUCACAAAGGCCCACUUAGGAUAUCCAUAUAUUGUCAGGGCAUUUUUGAUGUGCUUCUGUUCCUUUUCCUUACAUUCUUUCUUUGUGGGAAUGUUCUCAGCCCGGUGGUUGAGUGUUCUGAAAACACCCAGCUUGUGCUGCAGAGGAUGGUGGGAAUCAAAAAGUAAAUAUUGAUCCAUGUGUGUGGGUUUCCUGUACACUUCAACGUUGAGACACCCAUCUGCCUCCAAGUGUACAGCACAAUCCAAGAGGGCCAAAAUGUUGUCCCUGACAUCUUCACGGGUGAACUUGAUGUUGCUGUCCACUGUGUUGAUAUGGUCUGUGAAGGCCUCUACUUCAUGUGUUUUGAUCUUAACCCAGGUGUCAUCCACAUAUCUGAACCAGUGGCUAGGUGCUUCUCCUUUGAAGGAGGUUAGGGCCUUUCUCUCUACCUCUUCCAUGUACAGGUUUGCCACUACUGAAGAAACCGGGGAGCCCAUGGCACAUCCAUGUUUCUUUCUGUGAUGACACUCUCUGAACUAGAAAUAGGUGGUGCUGAGGCAGAUGUGGUCGGGGUUAAGUUAGUUCUGACCUCCAGUGUGCGGUCCUGUAAGAGGUGUUGUCUUACUGCUUGGACUUCCUCUGUUGUAGGAAUACUCGUGAAAAGUGAUGUCACAUCAUAGGAAACCAUGGUUUCAUCUGGGUCCAGCCUGAUGUCCUUGAUUUUUUCAGCAAAGUCCUGUGAGUUUUUGAUGUGGUGAGUGGUGUGGCCAACAAGAGGAGCAAGGAUGGGGACCAAAUGUUUUGCCACUUUGUAUGUGACUGAGUUAAUGCUGAUGAUGAUGGGUCUAAGGGGGGCCCCUUCCUUGUGUAUUUUAGGUAAUCCGUAAAUGCACGGGACUGCUUCCCCUGGGUAAAGCCAGUAAUAGAGUGGGCGGCCAAUAACUCAAUCCUUUUCCAGCUGUUGAAGUACACUGAUAACUCUUUUUUUCGUAGCUGUUGGUAGGAUCCAGUUUUAUAGUUCCAUAGCUGGCAGUUUCACUGAGAAGGCUUGUUCGUUAUUUUUCCUCCGCUUUAAACUGGAAAAUGGCCCACUUCCCACUGGCGAAAACUCAGGAAAUUUGGCAGGACGACCGGGCCUGGUGAAAAAUUUGAUAUUCUGAAGUCGCCCAAACAAAAAAAUGAAAAAUGGCUCCAUAGCGCCCCCUAUGGUGAAAACUCACCUGACGCCUGUACGCUUUGUCAAAAUGACACAAAAUUUGACACACAUGUGUAUCUCAAUAAGAUCUACAAAAAAGUCAGUGCGGGCGUAUCUGUCAAAUGUACCGUUAAAGGGCUAUUUCGCAUUUUUGGUCGAUUCGCACACAUUGGAAUUUCGCUAACUCCUCCGAAGGCUUUCGUUCCACCGGCACCAAAUUUGCUCAGGCCAAUCUACACCCCAUGGCCAUUAAAAGUUGUACAAAUCAUGACGCUGCAUCCCACGGUUUACGUUCUAGGGGGCGCCAAAGAUAACCCAGAAAUCCACAUUCUUAAAAGUCGUAUAACUUUUUAUUUUUGUCCUCACUGGCCUCCAAGUUUUCUAGGAUGAUGCAAUGUCUAGCCAUCAACACAUUUGUGAAGGAAUUUUUACUCCCCAAA
Xyrichtys novacula (pearly razorfish) is the source of this 17146-nucleotide non-coding RNA. The record is from the annotation of a GenBank genome assembly. NCBI's taxonomy places the organism in Eukaryota, Metazoa, Chordata, Actinopteri, Labriformes, Labridae.